This 234-nucleotide unclassified non-coding RNA is filed under the name plant metagenome. RNAcentral describes it as "partial contains small subunit ribosomal RNA, internal transcribed spacer 1, and 5.8S ribosomal RNA". The record is from RNAcentral.
UUUCCGUAGGUGAACCUGCGGAAGGAUUAUUACCGAGUGAGGGCCCUCUGGGUCCAACCUCCCACCCGUGUUUAUUAUACCUUGUUGCUUCGGCGGGCCCGCCGUAUGGCCGCCGGGGGGCUUCUGCCCCCGGGCCCGCGCCCGCCGAAGACAUCUCGAACUCUGUCUGAAGAUUGUAGUCUGAGUAAAAAUAUAAAUUAUUUAAAACUUUCAACAACGGAUCUCUUGGUUCCG